CCAAUUAAAACAUUUGGAUUAAUACACCUAAGAUUUGUUUUCUUCCACAUCAUUCUUUUAUUUACUCUCUCCCUCUAAACAAAGAUAUGCUCUAUGAUUCUGCUGGUACAAUUCUUUUGUUUUCGUUGGUUGGUAGAUCUUGAUGAAUUAAUGUUGUUUAUGUCUGAUUAAUAUUAGGGUUAUAUGAAUUGGGAAUUAGAAAAUUAGGGUUCUUUGUUGUUUGGAUUUUAUUCGGAAGAAUGGGUUUGACGAAUUUCAUAGCGACAAUGGUUGGAGUAGGCGCUGUGGUGUUGCUAUUUAAGGGCGACGUCAAGCAAACUGACACCGUCGUUAGGCGUAACAUCAAGCACAUCCGUCACUGGCUCGAAGAAGAAUCCUCUGCCGCCUCCAAGUCGUGAUUCUUCUCUCUCUUGAUUCCUUAUGAUUUCUCCUUUGCGAAGGGCAGCUAAGGCCAUAAAACCAAAGGAAAUAGAGACAAAGGUUCCGAAGAAGGACAUUCCAAAAGGGAAGGAUUAAGUGUGCCACUAUAUAUAAUGGUUCUUUGGAUUGAAGUGGUAGAAUUGAAGAAUUUCUUUGAAAGAAUUUUGACUUAAGUAUUAUCUUAAUUGAAUCUGAUAUGUUUCUGAUUUGGUAUUUUGUUUGCAUCGACGAGGAGAGUUCCAGGGAUGUUGCAGGACAACAGUUGGCUCUUGUUUUAAACUCCCUGCUGAUGCAGAGGACAACAGUUGGCUCUUGCGUUCAUUCUGUGUGCUCGCUUCUGGUGCAGAGGUAAAAAGAGCUCUUUCAUACUCUCUUUUUUUGUUUGUAAAUGACAGAGAAAGAAAGAAACUUAAGUUGAUUUUAUGGCUUGUAUGUUUCAGUUAACAAUGGGUUGUAGGUUUCUGUUUCUUCAAUCUGUUACUCUUGUUCUUAUUUCAGUUUCUGUUUGUGUUUCUAAUGACUUGAAUGUUGUUGUUUCA
Molecule: non-coding RNA, 959 nt
Organism: Camelina sativa (false flax)
Lineage: Eukaryota; Viridiplantae; Streptophyta; Magnoliopsida; Brassicales; Brassicaceae
Source: RefSeq, a predicted model, not a curated record